CUCAGGCAGAUUUGAUUCUUUCUUUCUCUCUAAACUCUCUCUCUUUCAUCAACCCCAAGCACCCUUCACCACAAAUAUUCCUUCCAUCAACAUAAUAAUGCCUGCUUUAACCAGAACUUUGACCUGUAACUCUUCUAUUGACUUCUUCAAGGGACUUGUUUGUUUGGUGGGAAAACUUAUUAUCAUCCAUUCAUCCCACUAAACCAGAUCAUGAUAAUGUGAUGAUACUUUGGUAGUAAUUCAAUUCGAUUUCGAGAUCAUCUGAACAACAAGUAAAAUGUGUAAUGAGUUGGGUUGAGAAUCUUAUAUUCACAAAGGUUUCAACUCAAUAAGUUCGUAUUAUUGUGUUUCUCCGAGAAUUUAUCCGCUCACAUAUGUAGAGUGAUCUAGAGCCAUGUUAUGACAAAGUGGGUCUGUUAAUCAUUCUUCUCUGGCUAACCGGACUUGAAUAUGUGGCUGCAUUUAAGUUCUCUGCCAAAGUGAAAGAAAAGAAGGAAAGCCAUCACCUCUCAGGAAAAACAUGUCUGCAUUUAAUGGCAGUGUCCAUCUUUGGUGAACUGAAUCCUUUAGGAAUCAUGAAUCAAACUGUAGAAAAGAUGACUGCUUAAGAAAUCAGAAAAGAGCAGACAAGGUAAUUAACUGGGUGAUUCUAGAUCCAAUCAGAGAACAAAAUAUGAGUGGAGGGUUGUUUCGGGUUCAAGAAAAUAAUUUAAGCAAACAAUGAACAGGCCUAACCCAUCAAUUGAAACCCCUAAGAACAUCUUUCUAUGAUAUGUGCAGCAGAGAAAAGGCACACAAUCAAACUGCAGAAAGAGUAUCAAGUUUAGAACUUCCACAACGAAAUGAUACUCACAAAAAGUUGAGUGAUUAACAAUUUAAAUGUACAAAAGUGGGAGAGAAACGAUACCUUGUUCUGGGUCAUGGUGGAUAAUUCGAUGAGUCUGAUCAUUUUGUUGCAUUAGCAAUGUCAAGUGCAAAUGCAAUUGCCACAUACCACAUGCUUGUCCUGCAAGCUGGUUUCCUGUUGCCCAAGUAUAGACAGAAUAUUCCAUUCAAUAGGAGAUCAGCAGGUAUAGGAGUUGCCUUUUGGAGAGGCCACAAAGCGGAUCGAUGUUCAUGCCUAUCCACAGUUAAUAAUUAUCAUCUGUCUCCAUUGUGUGAAAGUUUCUUUAAAUAAAGAAAACUACUUUCUUCCUUCAUUUUCACCUGCAACUGUCUCAAAAGUCCAUCAAAUUUGCUCAUAGUAUGGGUUGAACUUUUUUCUUAUUACAGGUGAAGAUA
This 1281-nucleotide long non-coding RNA is filed under the name Carica papaya (papaya). RNAcentral's name for it is "long non-coding RNA (CPAP_LNC013629)". Lineage: Eukaryota; Viridiplantae; Streptophyta; Magnoliopsida; Brassicales; Caricaceae. The record is from RNAcentral.